RNAcentral lists this long non-coding RNA (1014 nucleotides) under Helianthus annuus (common sunflower). Its description in RNAcentral is "hypothetical non coding rna". The record is from RNAcentral. Lineage: Eukaryota; Viridiplantae; Streptophyta; Magnoliopsida; Asterales; Asteraceae.
GUUCUUUUUAUAUAUUUCCAAGCAUAAAUGAUGAUACAUAAAUAUAAAGUGGACACGCAACAUAAUUUCAUGACUACAGAGGUAAAAUUUUGCGUAACCAUAUAAAUAAAAAUUUCACGCGUUAAUAAAAAUAGUAAAAGAUUCCGGUCGGUCUUGUAUGUUUCAAAUCAGUUAUUAUGAUACGAGAACAUAGACAGGAUAUAUUUCAUGGAUUCAUUUGUCUGAGCUGACAUUUUGUGUUCUGUAUGCACUAACAUCAUUUGUAGCUAUUAUAACAUCAAUGUAUCCAUCUGUCAUACAAUAGCACCAUCAGUCCAUUACAUCCACUCAAAGAAAUAAUUAUGUAACCUAUACAGAUAUUUCACUGCCUAUGAGUCCAUGUGUGUGUACUUAGAGGUCCUCCAACUAUGGAUGAUUUCACCAAACACAUUAUAGAAAGCCACACUUAUUUCAUUAUCGGUUACACGAAGUGUCAUGAAACCCUGGCCAUCGUAAUAGAACUUCAUUUCUUUCGGGUCCCAUUGGUUGACCUCACCUCGCCAUGCCUUUGACCCGCCUCCGCUUGUUAGAAACUGAAGUUGACUGCACAUGAACGUUAAUAGAAUCUAUAAAUGUUUCUUUAGUAGAUCCACAUCCUUUGCCUUCAAAAGAUUUUACUAUUAGUAGUUUGCACUACAUCUACAUAUACAUGACACAUAUAAUAUAAAGAGUAAAUUGCAUUUUAUGUCCUUUAAGUUUGAGAUAAAUUGCAAGCAUUAACCUUUAACUAAUGAAAUAACACAGUAUAUCCUUUAUGUUACUGUUUCUCAACAACCGGUGCCCUUUUGCCCUAACCCAGUUAUAUUUUUAUGUUAAGUCUUAACACGUGCCACUCACAUAAGGGCAUAAUGGGCAAUUUCACUAAAUAACUAAAACAAAAUUAUUUAAAAAUAAUAUAUAUUAACAUGAUUAGGAUCAAAUACAAAGGCUCCUAAUUAUAAGAAGGGUACAAAUGCUUCUAAAAAAACCCACUAC